GCCAGACAUAGUGGCGCAUGCCUGUAAUCCCAGUAACUUGGGAGGCUGAGGCAGGAAGAUUGCAAGUUUCAGGCCAGCCUCAGCAAUUUAGUGAGAUUCUCAGCAACUUGGUAAGGCCUUGUCUCAA
Molecule: small RNA, 127 nt
Filed under: Marmota monax (woodchuck)
Lineage: Eukaryota; Metazoa; Chordata; Mammalia; Rodentia; Sciuridae
Source: RNAcentral